UCGGGAUAGCUCAGCUGGUAGAMCAGAGGACUGAAAAUCCUCGUGUCACCAGU
This 53-nucleotide transfer RNA is filed under the name Erepsia inclaudens. Its description in RNAcentral is "partial transfer RNA-Phe". Lineage: Eukaryota; Viridiplantae; Streptophyta; Magnoliopsida; Caryophyllales; Aizoaceae. The record is from RNAcentral.